GAUGAACGCUGGCGGCGUGCCUAAUACAUGCAAGUCGAGCGAACGGACGAGAAGCUUGCUUCUCUGAUGUUAGCGGCGGACGGGUGAGUAACACGUGGAUAACCUACCUAUCAGACUGGGAUAACUUCGGGAAACCGGAGCUAAUACCGGAUAAUAUUUUGAACCGCAUGGUUCAUCAGUGAAAGACGGUCUUGCUGUAACUUAUAGAUGGAUCCGCGCUGCAUUAGCUAGUUGGUAAGGUAACGGCUUACCAAGGCAACGAUGCAUGGCCGACCUGAGAGGGUGAUCGGCCACACUGGAACGUGGCCACGGUCCAGACUCCUACGGGAGGCAGCAGAAGGGAAUCUUCCGCAAUGGGCGAAAGCCUGACGGAACAACGCCGCGUGAGUGGUGAAGGUCUUCGGAUCGUAAAACACUGUUAUUAGGGAAGAACAUAUGUGUAAGUAACUGUGCACAUCUUGACGGUACCUAAUCAGAAAGCCACGGCUAACUACGGG
Molecule: ribosomal RNA, 497 nt
Filed under: uncultured bacterium
Lineage: Bacteria
Description: partial 16S ribosomal RNA
Rfam family: Bacterial small subunit ribosomal RNA
Source: RNAcentral